This 82-nucleotide transfer RNA is filed under the name Apaloderma vittatum (bar-tailed trogon). It matches the Rfam family "tRNA". From Rfam's summary of the family: Transfer RNA (tRNA) molecules are approximately 80 nucleotides in length. Their secondary structure includes four short double-helical elements and three loops (D, anti-codon, and T loops). Further hydrogen bonds mediate the characteristic L-shaped molecular structure. tRNAs have two regions of fundamental functional importance: the anti-codon, which is responsible for specific mRNA codon recognition, and the 3' end, to which the tRNAs corresponding amino acid is attached (by aminoacyl-tRNA synthetases). tRNAs cope with the degeneracy of the genetic code in two manners: having more than one tRNA (with a specific anti-codon) for a particular amino acid; and 'wobble' base-pairing, i.e. permitting non-standard base-pairing at the 3rd anti-codon position. Lineage: Eukaryota; Metazoa; Chordata; Aves; Trogoniformes; Trogonidae. The record is from Rfam by way of RNAcentral.
GGGUGGUUAGUUCAGUAGUUUGAGCAUGGUGUUGACGACAAUGGCAACACCGAGGUCGCAGGUUCAAUUCCUGCUCGGUCCC